RNAcentral lists this ribosomal RNA (305 nucleotides) under Kingella oralis. Its description in RNAcentral is "bacterial SSU rRNA". It matches the Rfam family "Bacterial small subunit ribosomal RNA", at positions 173 to 478 of the family's 1533-position model. The record is from RNAcentral. Lineage: Bacteria; Pseudomonadati; Pseudomonadota; Betaproteobacteria; Neisseriales; Neisseriaceae.
AUACGCUUUGAGAAGGAAAGUGGGGGCUCUUCGGACCUCACGUUAUUCGAGCGGCCGAUGUCUGAUUAGCUAGUUGGUGGGGUAAAGGCCUACCAAGGCGACGAUCAGUAGCGGGUCUGAGAGGAUGAUCCGCCACACUGGGACUGAGACACGGCCCAGACUUCUACGGGAGGCAGCAGUGGGGAAUUUUGGACAAUGGGCGCAAGCCUGAUCCAGCCAUGCCGCGUGUCUGAAGAAGGGCUUCGGGUUGUAAAGGACUUUUGUUAGGGAAGAAAAGGAUAGUGUUAAUACCAUUAUCUGCAGAC